This 75-nucleotide antisense RNA is filed under the name Embleya hyalina. RNAcentral describes it as "ASpks TB sRNA". It matches the Rfam family "ASpks TB sRNA". Lineage: Bacteria; Bacillati; Actinomycetota; Actinomycetes; Kitasatosporales; Streptomycetaceae. The record is from RNAcentral.
CUUCAACGACCCCAGGUACAGCGGCCGUUCGUGGUCCCUUCCCUGACCGUAGGUGGCGAUCAGCGCCUGCGCCUC